RNAcentral lists this ribosomal RNA (505 nucleotides) under Vibrio sp. HDEN21. Its description in RNAcentral is "bacterial SSU rRNA". It matches the Rfam family "Bacterial small subunit ribosomal RNA", at positions 380 to 877 of the family's 1533-position model. The record is from RNAcentral. RNAcentral also lists the same sequence under 1 other name. Lineage: Bacteria; Pseudomonadati; Pseudomonadota; Gammaproteobacteria; Vibrionales; Vibrionaceae.
AGCCUGAUGCAGCCAUGCCGCGUGUGUGAAGAAGGCCUUCGGGUUGUAAAGCACUUUCAGCCGUGAGGAAGGCAUUGUACUUAAUACGUGCAGUGUUUGACGUUAGCGGCAGAAGAAGCACCGGCUAACUCCGUGCCAGCAGCCGCGGUAAUACGGAGGGUGCGAGCGUUAAUCGGAAUUACUGGGCGUAAAGCGCAUGCAGGCGGUCUGUUAAGCAAGAUGUGAAAGCCCCGGGCUUAACCUGGGAACCGCAUUUUGAACUGGCAGGCUAGAGUCUUGUAGAGGGGGGUAGAAUUUCAGGUGUAGCGGUGAAAUGCGUAGAGAUCUGAAGGAAUACCGGUGGCGAAGGCGGCCCCCUGGACAAAGACUGACGCUCAGAUGCGAAAGCGUGGGGAGCAAACAGGAUUAGAUACCCUGGUAGUCCACGCCGUAAACGAUGUCUACUUGGAGGCUGUAGUCUAGAACUGUGGCUUUCGGAGCUAACGCGUUAAGUAGACCGCCUGGG